ACGAAUCUUCUUUCGGGAGAAGAACCGCUGUGCACAGUGGCGAACCGUUGCGAACAUAGUAGUCUUUCGUUGAAAAAACCAAAGUUCGAUCUCCAACAAAUAGGAGUUCAGCACCGCCAUCUAUGACAACAAGGUAGGCAUCAAGAACACUGAGUCCAAGUUCACAGUCACGCACCGCGAUAUUCCUUUGGGUCGGUGAACCAUUCCCGGGUUUUAUCAACCCGUUCAUAGCGUCAGGCAGGUCGAGACUGCUAUUGCUGUCAAUUAGGUCAGCUUGCUUCAGACUGAUGCUGCUAAUUUGAUAAUUGCUACGGCGGUGAGAGCUGCUCCAUCGCGCCAAAUGGUGGUUUUUGAUAUGCAAAUGAUGGAGGUUUUUUUUUUCUCUGUCUCAAAUUUGUUGUUUAGCCAGAGUUUUGGGAAUGAUUUGUUGGUGUUUUGUAAAUGGUGUCAGUGAUUUUUUGAUUUGUGGGUGGUGGUCAUGUUGUUGUUGGUAGUGGUGUAGGCGACAAUGGAUUUAUUGUUGGUGGUGCAUGUGAUCGUGGUGAGGUGGUGGUGUGCGUUUGGUUCUUGACGUUGGGAAUGGCGACGGUGCCAAAGUGGUGGUGGCUAUGGCAACCGGGUGUAACCAAGUCUAUCUUCAUUGUGCUUGUCUGUGACCAAAUCUAUGUUAACUUUGACUAUGUGUGAUUUGGUUACAUAUAGACACAAAUUAAACUUCACAAUUAGUCACAGAUAAUAGAGGACAGUGAAAGUAGUGAAUUUGAAUUGAAGAUCGUAGUGGUGUUGCAUUGGAGGUGAUAGUGGUGGUAACUGGUGGUGCGGGUCUAUGGUGUGUGCAAAUUUAUUAGUGGUCUAUGUUACCAAGUAUGUGUUUAUUGGUAAUGGUUUGAUCAAAUCUGUGUCAAUUUUGACCAUUUGUUACUUGAUUACAUAUCGUCACAAUUAAGAUUAAUGUGGUCAUAGUUAGUACCGGAUAACACAUAUUAGUAGCUCGGUUACAUACAGUCACAUAUUAUACGAUUACAGACGAUCACAUUGAAGACAAAUUCGAUCACCAUUAGUCAUAUAUAACAUAUGCAUGGUCAAAGGGGUAGGGUGGUAGCUCCAUGGCAGGCCUGUCCUGUUGGUUCGAACCCUAAAACUAGUUCUUAGAACUGCUACUUUUCAAGGAUCAUUUGACUUCCAAAUGCACAAAAUACCACCGUACCUUUUGAAGACAAUAUUUUUAAAAAUUGUGCAUAUGUCAAGCUUAUCGUGAAAUCAUGUAUUGAAUACAAUACCUGGCUCAAAGCUGUCAAGGAAUGUAGCCCAUCGGUGUUCCAAAGGCAUUUUUGUUGGAUCAGACAAGACAGGCCCUGUUAAAAGCAUUGUCUUCCCGUUUUAGUUUCCUACAUGAUCAUACAAGGGCCCUUCUAACUCACUGCAUGUUCUAAUAGAGAUUGCAUAGUAGUUUCUCAUGGUGGUCAUUAUACAAUCAUUGAAUGUUAUUCCAUAGUCAAAUUCCAUAAAAAUAAGUGACAAUGAUCGUACCUCGUGUCUGUAUAAUACAAUCGUUGAAGAAGUUGGGUACCCGGCUAAGGGUUCCAUUAAUUCUUCAUUGGAUACUGAACCGUCUUUCGUACUUUUUCGUGCAGGGACAAGAGCUAUGGUGAUAGAUGCUGCACACACAACAUUGCAACACAUAGUUUUGAAUCCGAUUUCUAAAGCUAAUUCAGGUAUCCAAUGCACAGUAUCAAAGAAAAUGAAAUCCAGCUUCAAUUCAUGAAGCUUUUGAUUAACUUCAUCGCGUGUAAGGUCCAUUGCAUAGAUAAGGGUAUCUCGGUGGCUGUCUC
RNAcentral lists this long non-coding RNA (1832 nucleotides) under Olea europaea (common olive). Its description in RNAcentral is "long non-coding RNA (OEUR_LNC004742)". The record is from RNAcentral. Lineage: Eukaryota; Viridiplantae; Streptophyta; Magnoliopsida; Lamiales; Oleaceae.